AUGUUCAUAAACUUUAGCAUCAAACCGAGCCAAGGACGAGCAAUAAUAAUCAAGUUAUUCUAACUCACAUAUAUUUGCAUGAUGUACAAGUAAGAACAAACAUGUACGUUAUUAUAACGUGAAACUAACGCGAAACUUUCUGCCUCAUUAAUUGUAAGACCUUCAUCAGUCGCUAAAAAAGUCUUAAUACUGACAAAACAGAUCAUCUGUCGACAAGUUUGUUCCUCCUUCUUUAUAACGAGUAUCAAUUAUAUAAAGAAGGAUUCACAGAAUUAAUUAUUGGUCAGAUAAGAUUCAUCCGACGGCUAGUCAGAUGUAAUGCGCAAAGAUUUUUUAAUAUCAAUACAAAUAAUGGAAACACGUACGCAAGAAAUGACAACAGAAAACAAUAAUUGUAAAAUUUUAUUGGAUAGAUUCUGUAUUUUUACAAUACUUUCAACGUGAGAUUAUUAACUAUUAGAUCCUAUAAUUUUGUAUAAUUUUGACCACGUAUGACAGUUGGAACAUGUAACCAUUUUUGUUAGCGUUAAGAUUUUUUAUAGCGGCUGAUGCAGGUCUUAGUGAGAUUAUGUUUUAAAUAUGUUCAUUUAUGUUUAAAUAUAUACAUAAACUUUAGCAUCAAACCGAACCAACGACAAGCAAUAAUAAUCAAAUAAUUCUAACUCACAAAUAUUUGUAUUAUGUACAUGUAGGACAAACAUGUACAUUAUUAUACGCAAAACUAGUUUCGCCGUAUUUGAAGCUCAUUGCCUAUGCUAAUUAAUUUUAAAUUAUACUAACAAGUUUUCUUAUGCAAGAUCAUAUUUCUGCAGAUCAGCUUCGUCUUGAUCGUGCUUCACCUAUUUCAGUGUAUUUUUACCAAUCCCAGACACAAGUCUCUUCAAAGCAUCGCGUUUAUUUCUUUGCACUCACUAUUAUCACGAUGGCAACUGGUUUUGGCAACAGCACCGUGCAGCACGCUCAACAAGAGUUGACCAGCGAAGAUAAGAAAUUUGCAGCGGUAAAUUUGAACGAGACCGACGAGACUAGAGGAAAUGCUGCGAGGAAAUUAAACACUGGAUCGAAGAAAGCAACGAUUUGCCCGUACGAAUUGAUGAUUUUCUUCUUCUACGAUUUUUGAGAGUUUGCAAAUUUGAUGUUGAGAAAAUUAAGGACAGGAUUCGAAACUAUUACCAGCAGCGAUCCGAUUUACCGGAAUGGUACACAAACAAGGAUCCGUUUCGAUCGGAAUUGCAAGAGCUGCUUGAUCUGAGAAUAUGUGUAUCCCUGCGAAAGCCAGACAGUCAAGGAAGACUUGUUUUACUGAUGCGCAUAACUCGGCAUGACCCGAAUAUACACGAAAUACCAAAUGUAAUUAAGAUCUGUAUACUCGCGUUAGAAACGGCGAUGAAAUAUUAUCCCGCAGGAUCUAUAUAUGGUGUGGCAUUCUAUAUAGAUGUAUCCAAUCCAACUGCGCGCCACAUUUUUCAACUCUCUCCCUUUGUAUUAAAAAAUAUAGCCCAUACAUGGCAAAAGUGCUAUCCUGUGAGAUAUCAGAAGAAUUGUUUUUUUUAACACACCAACAGUCUUUAAUAUUCUUAUUAGCACUUUAAGAUUCUUUCUGACAGAAAAGUUAAAAAGCAGAUUUUAUGUCUAUUCACACCAGAACUGUUUCGAAGAUAUUCCAGCUGAUAACUUGCCUAUCGAAUAUGGCGGUACCGGUGGAACAUUGCAGGAGUUAACAGAACAUUGGAAAAAAUUGAUCGAAGAGAAUCGCGACUGGGUUAUGCAGGAUGAGAAUGGCCAAAGUAUCCAGACAGUUGAACCUAUAGAAGAAGAUUUUCAGCAGACACAUUUAUAACUUGUUGAUGGUUAAAGGCAGUAAAGUAAUAAAGCUCAUUUCUAGCCCCAAAUUAACUUUUAUCUUAGUUUAAUUUAUUUUUCCGUUUUCAAAUUCUUAGAACUAAAGAAAGAUAAAGAGUAACUCAAACUGAGAUUAAAGUUAAUCUGCGUUGGUAGAAAUAGGCACAAGAGCAUAUUAACCUUGGUUAUUUUACGCAAAUUAUAAAAUAUAUUGAUUCUUUUUUUCUUUUUGCACAGAAAUCACGUAAAAUUAUAUUGCAUAAAAAGAUGUACAAAGUUAAGGUUUUAAUAAAAAUUUCAUAUAUGUCUAACUGUGUGAAUAAGUUAAAUUCAUUUUAACUGUCUUGCAAUUUGUUAACUCAUUUUACAUGAUGAAUUUUAUCGUUUGAACUAUAAACAAAAUAUAUACACAUAUUUUAUACAUUUAUUUUCCAUGCGUAAUUUACAUAUACUAGUCAAUAUAACUAUAACUGUUUAAUAAGCUUUUGUUAUACUAUUACUAUUUAAAAAGUCCAAAAUGUACAUAAUUAUAAUAUAUAGUAAAGAAUUUAAAUAAAUCAGAUUUCUUCACGCCUCAUCCUUAAGAGAAUAAAAAACGAAUAUUUCUCUUUAA
Solenopsis invicta (red fire ant) is the source of this 2455-nucleotide RNA transcript. It is a transcript of the gene named retinol-binding protein pinta, with no coding region annotated. The transcript is spliced from 5 exons. NCBI's taxonomy places the organism in Eukaryota, Metazoa, Arthropoda, Insecta, Hymenoptera, Formicidae. The record is from RefSeq and is a predicted model, not a curated record.